This is a non-coding RNA of Xiphophorus hellerii (green swordtail), 634 nucleotides long. The record is from the annotation of a RefSeq genome assembly. NCBI's taxonomy places the organism in Eukaryota, Metazoa, Chordata, Actinopteri, Cyprinodontiformes, Poeciliidae.
GAGUAGGAAGAGGAGGAAGAGGAGGAAGAGGAGGAGCUGAUCUGUCCCUGAUCUCUAAAGAGACUCAAACUUCCUCCUUCAGCUCAGCUCAACUCUCCAACAUUAACUCUGCUCAACAUGCUGUCUCUGCUCACAUCUGGAUUCACUCUGCUGGUUCUGAUCACUGGAUCAGGUGUAAACUGUCAACAACUCACUGCAGCGAAGACUGAGGAGUUCAGUUCAGAGGGCAGCUCUGUUACUCUGACCUGUAGUUACACCAAAGAUUCAGCUAAUUAUUUAUUCUGGUAUCGACAAAAUCCAGGAGAACCUCCAGAGUUCCUGAGGUCUCACUCACCUUCAGGUGGAUCAGAACAUCUGGACAGGAUGACAUUUAAAGGAAGCAAAGAAGAAAUGUCCAUGACGAUCUCCUCUGCUGCAGUGACAGACUCUGCUGUGUACUACUGCGCUGUGCAGCCCACAGUGACAGGAAACACCAGAACCCUGUACAAAAACCUGCAGUUCUCCACAGCAGCCACCAGGGGGCGCCAUGCUCCAGUAGGCGGCGCUCUCCUUGUGCUCUGUGUUCCAGCAUUGUGUCAAUAAGAAGUGGUGCUGUGAAGAGAACAAUAGUCAGACUGAAUGUUGAACAUCAGCU